This 495-nucleotide ribosomal RNA is filed under the name uncultured bacterium. RNAcentral's name for it is "partial 16S ribosomal RNA". It matches the Rfam family "Bacterial small subunit ribosomal RNA", at positions 30 to 507 of the family's 1533-position model. The record is from RNAcentral.
UGACCGCUGGCGGCGUGCCUACUACAUGCAAGUCGAGCGAACAGACGAGGAGCUUGCUCCUCUGACGUUAGCGGCGGACGGGUGAGUAACACGUGGAUAACCUACCUAUAAGACUGGGAUAACUUCGGGAAACCGGAGCUAAUACCGGAUAAUAUAUUGAACCGCAUGGUUCAAUAGUGAAAGACGGUUUUGCUGUCACUUAUAGAUGGAUCCGCGCCGCAUUAGCUAGUUGGUAAGGUAACGGCUUACCAAGGCGACGAUGCGUAGCCGACCUGAGAGGGUGAUCGGCCACACUGGAACUGAGACACGGUCCAGACUCCUACGGGAGGCAGCAGUAGGGAAUCUUCCGCAAUGGGCGAAAGCCUGACGGAGCAACGCCGCGUGAGUGAUGAAGGUCUUCGGAUCGUAAAACUCUGUUAUUAGGGAAGAACAAAUGUGUAAGUAACUAUGCACGUCUUGACGGUACCUAAUCAGAAAGCCACGGCUAACUACGUG